AGUCGAGCGAGCGGAACCAACAGAUUUACUUCGGUAAUGACGUUGGGAAAGCGAGCGGCGGAUGGGUGAGUAACACGUGGGGAACCUGCCCCUAAGUCUGGGAUACCAUUUGGAAACAGGUGCUAAUACCGGAUAAUAAAGCAGUAUCGCAUGAUCAGCUUUUGAAAGGCGGCGUAAGCUGUCGCUAAGGGAUGGCCCCGCGGUGCAUUAGCUAGUUGGUAAGGUAACGGCUUACCAAGGCGACGAUGCAUAGCCGAGUUGAGAGACUGAUCGGCCACAUUGGGACUGAGACACGGCCCAUACUCCUACGGGAGGCAGCAGUAGGGAAUCUUCCACAAUGGACGCAAGUCUGAUGGAGCAACGCCGCGUGAGUGAA
This 376-nucleotide ribosomal RNA is filed under the name Lactobacillus sp. DumLac54. RNAcentral's name for it is "bacterial SSU rRNA". It matches the Rfam family "Bacterial small subunit ribosomal RNA", at positions 60 to 409 of the family's 1533-position model. The record is from RNAcentral. Lineage: Bacteria; Bacillati; Bacillota; Bacilli; Lactobacillales; Lactobacillaceae.